Cricetulus griseus (Chinese hamster) is the source of this 2137-nucleotide non-coding RNA. The record is from RefSeq and is a predicted model, not a curated record. Lineage: Eukaryota; Metazoa; Chordata; Mammalia; Rodentia; Cricetidae.
CCUCCCGAGUGCUGGGAUUAAAGGCGAGUGCCACCAAUGCCCGGCCUGAGCAGCUCUUUUUGGGAGAGAGAAGUUGCCACAUUUCCUUUUCCCUUCUAGAAGAAUGGAGACGCUUUCCGUCAGGAAAACUAUUCUAGUUUGGAUGAAUUAAACAACAGGCAUUUAGAUGGAACCUUAGGUUGAUCCAAGGAGCAAAGGACACAGUGCGCCUAGAGCUUCAAUGGGAAACAGGUGCAGCUUAGGAGGGAUGCCUCCAUACCACUGGCUCUGCCUCCUAGAGCAAUUAAACCAUUUCUAUCAGAAGAGGAAGGCAGGUUAACAAGGAGCCCUGGUUUUGAUUCUCUUUUCUUUUUUACUUAGACAGGAGUCUUUAUAUUGCCCAUGCUGUACUCCAACUCCUAGGAUCAAACAAUCAGCUCCAGAGUCAGCCUCCAGAACAGCUAGGGGGAAAUAGAUGUGUGCCACCAGCUUGGCAAGCCCUAAAGUUGAGAUCCAAAAAUAGCACACAGACACACGUGGGAAGUCGGAGGACAGCUAGCAGGAGUUCGUUCUCUCCUUCCAUCAUAGUCUUACUAUGUAGCUAGCUCAUGCAGUUCUCAAGAUGGCCAUCCUCCUGCCUUAUCUCUCCACCUGCUGGGAGCUGAGGUAUUCACCACUAGGUAUGUCUUACACAUCUUAGGCUCUUUCUAUACAGCUGGGAAUGACCUUGAACUUCUGUUCCUCCUGCCACUCCCAAGUCCCCAGUGAUAUGCACCUAGAUUGGUGAAACAGGGCAAGUGGGGAAUGGGCAGGCUUGUGUAAGUAUGGUGCUACAGACUGAACCCAGGACUCUGUGUAUCCAGGGGAGCACACUACCAACUGAGCUCCACACUGCUUUUAUGUGGUACUGGGGAUUGAACCUAGAACUUUGUACAAGCUAGGCAAGUACUCUACCAACUGAGCUCUUCCCCAGCCCUAUUAACUUAUUUUUAAAUUUUAUUUAAGUAAAAAAAAAAGACAUUAUGAAUCACAUGCCAUAAAUUUCACCCUUUGAAAGUAAAUAGUCCAGGGCUUUUGUUUUCUUUAGACAGGAUUUCACCCAGGCUGGCCUAGAAGACACUGUGUAGGCCAGGCUGGGUUUGAAGUCACAUAACCCUUUUUCCUCAGCCUCUUAGUCUUAAUCAUUAGUAUCUUUUUCUUUUCUAUUUUUGAAACAGAGUCUGAUAUGCCUAGUCUGGUCUCAAAUUCACAAUGUAGUCAAGGCUUACCUUGAACCUUAAAAAAAUUGUAUGUAUUUGUGUGAGUGUCUUUGUGUACUCGCCCACACAGGGAAUGUGUGAGGUCAAAGGGCAAGCUGUGGGAGUCAGUUCUUUUCUUCUACCAUCUGUGUCCUGGAGAUCAAAGUGAGGUCAUCUUUGAUCAGAUUUGGCAGCAAGUGCCUUUAAUGUCGGAGCCAUCUUGCCAGCUCUGGCCUUGAACUUGUAACUCUCCUGAGGCUGGAAUCACAGGCAUGAGCCACUGUUCAUGAUUUUCAGGUGUGCUGGGCGAGCACUGUAUCAAAUGAGCUACAUCCUCAGCCCCAUGAUCUAUAUUUCCUUUCUUUCUUUUAAAUAAUUUAUUUUAUGUGCAUUGGUGCUUUGCCUGCAUGUAUGUGUGAGGGUGUCAGAUCUAGGAGUUGUCAUAUGAGUGCUGGGAACUGAAUCUGGGUUCUCUGGAAGAGCAGUCAGUGCUCUUAACCUCUGAGCCACCUCUCCAGCCCUAUAUUUCACUUCAAUUUCAAUUCAAGUAUGAACACAUGACUACUAUCAUAUUGGUGUGAGGGUGUCAGAUCCCCUGGAACUGGAGUUACAGAUAGCUGUGAGCUGCCAUGUGGGUGUUAGGAAUUUAACCCGGGUUCUGGGGAUGAGCAGCCAGUGCACUUAACCACUGAGUCGUGUCUCCAGCCUGACUGCUAUCAUAGGUCCAGGUCACUGUUUUGACCACAGUGAAAAGCACAAUGCCUGUCACUGAAUUAGUGCUCAAUAUUGGUUAAAAGGAUGAAUGAACAAAUAGCACUGCCUCCCUUGAGAGACAGAGCCUCUGGGCUCUAGCCUCCUCCCAGUGGGCAAGGGGAAGGUACAGGGAACUGAGGCAGACGAUUCUGUUGCAUUACCAGCAG